Cryptotermes secundus is the source of this 1257-nucleotide long non-coding RNA. RefSeq lists it as uncharacterized. The record is from RefSeq and is a predicted model, not a curated record. Lineage: Eukaryota; Metazoa; Arthropoda; Insecta; Blattodea; Kalotermitidae. The transcript has 4 exons.
UCUCCAACCGGAGAUGGCGUAUCAGACUCUGCAGUUCUUUCAUAACUGGUGUCCGUCAUCGUUACUCGUGGACCUGGCACAAGAACAUGAUGAGUAAUGCAUGCAGUGUUGAGUGCAUGAUACAGCCAAAAUUGCAGCCCAUUGUGAGGUUUCUGGAUCAGUGAUAAGCAUUCAAAAGUGGUUGAUGGCUGAACAUGGAAUUAAUGCAGCAGUGAAUGCUUGAACAAUAGCGAACUGCUGCCAAACCUUAAUGACAAUAGGUUUUAUCACUGAUAAGACAAGAUCAGAUGACCAUCAUCCUCACAGACUUCUGAGAACAUUACUUCUGUGAAUGAAGAGUUCACAAGAAGCCCACUGAAAUCAGUGUUUGCAGGUGCUCUUGAAAGCAGGUUCAAACAUUAUGCAGUUAAGACCAUCCUAGGAAAGAACUGUCUUUUAAACCUUGGAAACUCCAUUAUGUGCAACAGUUAUUUCCUGAUGACUGUGGCAGAUGGAAGGAAUUAGCAGAAUCGUUUCUGGGAUGGAAUUACAAAUGUCCACAGUUGUUUCAUAACAUUCUUUGGAGUGACAAGGCAGUGUUUCAUGUUGGCAGAUUCGUGAAUCGACACCAACUGGCAUUACUAGGAAUCUGAAAAUCCAGAUAAUUGUAUGGAAAAGGCUCACAGUUGUCCAGAAGUAACAAGCUGGUGUAGUAUCACAGUGACCACGUUUGUUGGACUAUGCCUUUUGUUUGACAUGAUGAAUGCUGCAAGAUACUUCAAAGUGUUGCAAGACCAUGUGUGGCCAAAUCUCCAAGAGACUAAGAGAUAUUACAAUAGCAACAUUGGUCAAAGUGUGUUUGGAAUAUUAAGCUGCGAAAAAGAUGUGGGAGGAGUCAUGGGAACAGCUCUCAGGUCACACCAACAGUGAGAGAAAAUUGUGUGUGACAUGCAAAGAAGCUGAUGGAGAUCUGGAAAGCAGAAACCUCUAUAUAAAAUAGGGAAGCUGUGGACCCUGUUAUGUUAGAGCCAGUGAGCAAACAUGGCUACUUCGUCGCUAGAUCAUGACAUACACCAUUACAUUAUCACUGAAAAGUUACUACAGUCCAUUCACGGAGACGAGAGAGUCCUCAUAAACAAAUGCAUGUGGUGUCUCCUUCACUCUUUGAAUGAAAUCAUGCAGUGAUCACGUGAUGCAUGUUUCGUUGCAGGGGCGUCCAAAGUUCACUCUUCAGUCUGAAUGCAGGUUAACGUGCGUCCGAAUGCAGUGAGUACACUG